AUUGAACGCUGGCGGCAGGCCUAACACAUGCAAGUCGAACGGUAACAGGAAGCAGCUUGCUGCUUCGCUGACGAGUGGCGGACGGGUGAGUAAUGUCUGGGAAACUGCCUGAUGGAGGGGGAUAACUACUGGAAACGGUAGCUAAUACCGCAUAACGUCGCAAGACCAAAGAGGGGGACCUUAGGGCCUCUUGCCAUCGGAUGUGCCCAGAUGGGAUUAGCUAGUAGGUGGGGUAACGGCUCACCUAGGCGACGAUCCCUAGCUGGUCUGAGAGGAUGACCAGCCACACUGGAACUGAGACACGGUCCAGACUCCUACGGGAGGCAGCAGUGGGGAAUAUUGCACAAUGGGCGCAAGCCUGAUGCAGCCAUGCCGCGUGUAUGAAGAAGGCCUUCGGGUUGUAAAGUACUUUCAGCGGGGAGGAAGGGAGUAAAGUUAAUACCUUUGCUCAUUGACGUUACCCGCAGAAGAAGCACCGGCUAACUCCGUGCCAGCAGCCGCGGUAAUACGGAGGGUGCAAGCGUUAAUCGGAAUUACUGGGCGUAAAGCGCACGCAGGCGGUUUGUUAAGUCAGAUGUGAAAUCCCCGGGCUCAACCUGGGAACUGCAUCUGAUACUGGCAAGCUUGAGUCUCGUAGAGGGGGGUAGAAUUCCAGGU
Molecule: ribosomal RNA, 657 nt
Filed under: uncultured Escherichia sp.
Lineage: Bacteria; Pseudomonadati; Pseudomonadota; Gammaproteobacteria; Enterobacterales; Enterobacteriaceae
Description: bacterial SSU rRNA
Rfam family: Bacterial small subunit ribosomal RNA
Source: RNAcentral